Molecule: long non-coding RNA, 661 nt
Filed under: Lepidothrix coronata (blue-crowned manakin)
Lineage: Eukaryota; Metazoa; Chordata; Aves; Passeriformes; Pipridae
Description: lncRNA (ENSLCOG00000003507.1)
Source: RNAcentral
CAAUCUUAAUUUGUCCUUGUUCAUAUGUAUCCUCUUUUCAACAGACGUUUAACGGUGUGAGCUUUUCAGCAUUCCUGGUGAAUUACACAUUCUGGGAAUUAAUCAAAGCUAUUUAGUGAAUGAAGUUAUUGCGUGGAGGAUCUGCCUGUCCUUACCUGUGACAGAGGGAUGGUACAUAUAUACAGGAGGAGAAUGGAUUUCAGGAAGGGCAUGAGCGUCUCGGAGUAAAAAUAAUUAAAUUCUGCCGAGAUCAGCUGCUGUCCAGGGACACCACCCAGGUCUAAUUCAGAGAAAAAAUAGUCAGACUGAAGCACAGCAAAAGGUGAAGAAGUUGCGAUGAGGAACUUGGUGGUACAUGAACUCUGCAAACCAGCUGGACACGACAAACAGCCUUGGUCUGAGGGCACGUGUGGGGUACAGGAGAAGCAGUGCCCAGAGUGAAUCAAAGAACCUUGCCCUAAACUCACUGAGCUGGCUGGGGUAUUACAGUAUGGAUUUUACAUAUGGAAUUGGUGAGGAAAACAAGAGGGAUCAUCUUUGUCUGAAAUUUAUGAAGGGUCCCUGGCUGUGAGACUUUCUAAAAAGUAAGUAUUUCUUGAUUGCAUCAUGGUGCACCGAGUGUAUCUUUGCUCCCAUAUCCCCUCUACUUUUUUUUUAUAUG